RNAcentral lists this long non-coding RNA (5686 nucleotides) under Equus caballus (horse). RNAcentral describes it as "lncRNA (ENSECAG00000051914.1)". The record is from RNAcentral. Lineage: Eukaryota; Metazoa; Chordata; Mammalia; Perissodactyla; Equidae.
UUUUUAAAAAUUGAAAUGAAAUAACACCAGUGAUACCUAAAUCCAUAAACAUGCUUUCCUUGCAGGAAGGCACAUCUACCUUCCCACCCGUAGGGUCGAACAGUGUCCCCCAAAUCCAUGUUCUCCCAGAACCUCAGAAUGUGACCUCGUUUGGAAUAAAGGGUUUUGCAGAUGUAGUUAGAAUAAGGAUCUCGAAAUAAGAUCAUGCUGGAAUUGGGCGGAUCCUAAAUGCAAGGAGAGCAUCCUUCUAAGAGAAAGGAGAGCGAGAGUUGAAAACAGAGCCGCAGGAGAGAAGCCAUGUGCGCAUGUGCGACAGAGCCGCAGGAGAGAAGCCAUGUGCGCAUGUGCGACAGAGGCAGAGACUGGAGUGACGCAGCCGCGAGCCAAGGAACGCCGGGAGCCCCGGGGAGCUGGACAAGGCAGGGACACAGUCUCGCCCGGAGCCUUCGGACUGAGUGCGGCUCUGAUUUGACUUAGCACUUGUGGCCUCCAGGACGGAGUGGUGCUUUUAAACCUUAAAUAGGCGCACACCCCACGCCAUGCUGUCAAGGGCUCUCAGCCCCCCGCCACGUGUAUCUGGGAGAAGCUCCGAGGUUCUUGCUACAGUGACGUCAUCCUUUCUAACAGCUGCAGGUAGGCCCCUGUGGGACCCUCCCAUCCCUUAUGUGACGAACCCUCACUGUUGGACACUCAAGUUCUCUCCAGCUUUUCUCCUUGGUACGUGAUGCCACGGUGAACAUCUCCGCACCUUCUGCACACGCUCAAUGAUUUUCGGAGCAUCGAAUAUUCCUUAGAAGAAUGGUUGGGCCAAAGGCUAAGCUCGUUUACAGUUCUAUUGGUUUUGUCAAACUGAGUCAAAAUGUAUUGGAAACUUAGACCCUUGAGAAGGACAGAAGCCUGGAAGCAGACUUCCGGAUUUUGUAGUGUUGGAUACUUCCAACCCCUGAGUCAAGGAAAGUUAGGGCACGGGGGAGGGGCCUUAGAAAGGACAUCUGUGCUGGGGUCUUGGGGGAACCCAGGAGCGGCCACUCCCAAACCCUGCCUGGGUCUCUGUCGCCCUGGGGUGGGCGAGGAGAAAGCAGAGGAGAUAGACUGGGGGCCCCGGGAGUUCUGGCAGCGGGGAGGCACCUCUCCAGCCUGGGCACCCAGCUCGUCUGCCCCAGUGAGGUUGCCCCUGUCCAGCCGAGGUGCCAGGUCAGUUGGGCCUCUGUGUGUGAAUGGAAAGGGCAAGGUGGGGGUGGAGGAAAAGGGGCCACCUGCUCUGGGACUGAUUUGCUGGCCCCGGCUGGAGCUCUGGGGUCUGGGGCAGGGGGCUCUGGACUCGACAGUGAUUGCCUACCUUGGGGCCAUCUCCCUCCCCACUCUGGUGGUUUUAGAACAUGCCACCCUCCCCCCUCCAAUUAUUUGACAUUCCGCUUAUGGAGAAGUGGACACUUGAAUCUGUGCUCUGGAUGCUUGAGCAAAGUGGUGGAAGUGGUACUGUGUCAGAGCCCAGACCCAGGCUGUCACCAACUGCAGCUUCCAUGACCCGUCUCUUGGGAUGCUCGCUCUUGGAACUCAGCCACCAUGCUGUGCGGAAGCCCAAUGGCCCCAUGGAAAGGCCAUGUGGAGAGGAACAGAGGCCCCCAGCUCUCACCCCCGCAGGGCUAAUGGGUCCUUCAGGCCCCGAGAUCCCCAGUUGAUGCCACCUGGAGCAAGGAUGUGCCUUCCCUCCUCAGCCUGCUUCACUUGCAGAGCGGAGAGCAAGAGAAAUGAUUGCUCUUGUUUUAAGCCACUAAAUUGUGAGGUUAUUUGCUACAUGGCAAUAGAUAGCUACAACACCCCAUGGCCAAGGAAGUCGCCACUAGCAUGUGAGCGUGGGCUUUGCGGUCAGACCCACCAGCCGUGUGCCAAGACCUCUCUCGGCCUCAGUUUCCUCAUGGGCAAAUAGUGAUAGUGAUAGUACUUGCCCAUAAGGUGCUGAGAGGUGAAACGAGAUGGUUCCUGGAGAGGGCCUGGCAUGGCAUGAGUGCAUGGUAUGUGGUAGCUGUUCUGACUGCUGACUGUUACUACGGUUAUGUUCAUAGGUGCUAGAAAAUCACUCACUCCAGGCUUCAUUGCAACAGACAGAUCCUGCACUGCUUGUUCCUUUGGGGGCCUCAUCCUCCAGGAAGCCGUCCCUGACCUCCCAGGCUGAGCUGGCACCCCUCUGCAGCCCCCAUUCUACCCUCUGCUGCAGCGUGCGCCCCACUGUGCGGUCACGGCCUGUUUAUGGCCUCAGGCUGCAGCUCCCUGAGGGCAUUGUUAGAAGGACCAGAAAGCAGUUGAAGUGUGCAAAGUGAGGACAAGGUGGGUGCGCCCAUAGGUGGGUUCCUGGGGAUGCUUACGUAGCCGAGUGAUCCUCAGCCGGCCUGUGCACCCUGACUGUGCACUUGAGCCUCUGUGUGUUCUGGCGGGCCUGUACGAGGUGCGUGUGUGCAUGUCUGUGCAUGGAGCCAUGUGCAUGGCGCGUCCAUGUGCGAGUGUGCGUGUGCUCCUGGGGGCGGUCUGCAGCAAGGAAAGUCUUGCAGCAGCUGCUACAUCCGGGUCCCACCAGCCCUCACGGGGGAACUAAAAAUAGCCUGUGCCCAGCCCUGACCCAGCGGGCAGGGGGCCGAGGGGCAGCCCCGCAGGGCACCCCGGCCGGGCUGUUGCCCUCCUCCCUCCUGGGGCCACCGCCCUGCCUGCGGCCCAGUCUCGGGCUCCCAUGAGCUCAUGCCGGCCCUGGCCAGCAGGGCGGGGAGGGCAGCCCAGGGCUGAGGCCCUGCCCACGGCCGGCGCUGGACACAGGCAAGGCCUGAUAAGGUCAAGCUGGAGUGGGGUCCGCCCCUCCUCCAGCCUGGCCGCGGGCGGACGUGAGUCAGCACAGGGGGCAUCGGGCAGCCCGGCUGACGCUGCUGGCAGCAGGGGAGGCCGGGGGUGGGCCGCCCGGGCAGGGCAGGGACUGGCCAGGAGGAAUCACCUGCUGCCUCGGCCAAGCCCUGACCUCAGUCCCCACCUUGAGGACCCCACCUCCACUUCCGCCGGGAAAGCCCCUCUCAGAGGCUCCCCCGGGCUUCCUGCCCUGGUCUGGGAUCACCCCUGGCCUUGGGAGGGCUGUCGCCCACCGGGCCCCAGGGCGUCCACACGCCCCUGCCCCAAGACAUCCUCUCGGACCCCCCAGCUGGCCACGACAGACCCUGGCUGUGGAGCUGAGAAAGGGGGGCACCUGGGAGGAGCAGGGACGCUCUGAGAAGCUGGCCCCUGAGCUCUGAGCCAGCUUCCAUAACUUCUGCUCGUAUGACUCAGUUUCCUCAUCUGUAGAAUGGGCUUAUGACUGCCUGCCCUCACAGAGUUGUCACGAGGAUUGAAGGGCUCUUGGCACAUAGUAGGCCUCAUCCGGGCUAGCUCCCCUCCCACAUCCUCUCUAGCUCCCAGGGAGCUGGCCCCAGACCCCAGGACACCUGCAAAUCCCCCUUCACUUCCCAGGCUCAGAGAAUGACAGGAGGGGGACAACCGAAAAAAGCAAAAAACUGAUAUACUUGCUGAAGUGACCAACAAUCCAAACACGUCAAGGGGUGUGGAGUGAGUGGUCCCCUCCCACGCCCUCCCCCGUCCCUUUCUAGAAUAUUCUAGAGAUGGCCUAUGCAGACACAUACAAAGACAGAUUUAUAUCCUCUUCUCCACCUUAAACACACACCGCGGACGGCAGAGUUCCCUCCUGCACCCGGAGGAGGGCCUGUGUCCAUGCAUGCAGAGCCCCCUCGUUCUCAUCUGUGGUGUGUGUCCCAUCAUUACUUAGCCAGACUGUGGCCGGAAGUGCUAUUUAUUUGUCUGUUUGUUAAGACAAGGGAGCAGCUUCCCGGAAGGGUCCCUCCUCGAGUCUGCGGAGGGAGACCUGGGUCUGAGUCAGGUCUGGACGUCCCACUCAAGGGACCUGGCACAUCUUGCCUCAGUUUCCCACCUGUGAGAUGGUGGCCGCAUCCGUCAAUGAGACCGUGUUGCUACCUGCUGGCCCACAGGCUGUAUCCUGUUUAUGGAUGUGUUCUGCUCCUCAAACUUUUCCAAAAUCUGGAGAUUUCACAUUAAAAUCCAGACUUCUGGAUUCUCUUGAAAAAUUAAAUGUCUGGCAACAGCUGGCUAGAGUCAAGGAGCAGCUGCCCUCUCCGGACCGGGCGAGGGUGCUCUGCUUGGCCCAGCCCCCACUACUCUGCAUUGCUCCUCCUCAGGAGCAUCUGUGAUGCUCGCUCAGAGUUGUGCAGACACAGUGAGGGCUCUGAGCGCAGGGUCCCCAGCGGCCAGCGCAGGCCCAGUUUCACCCUCUUGCUGGAUCCUCAGGGUGUCUGGGACUCAGUAGCCAGAGCCGCUGCUGGUCCUGGAACCCAGGGCCGAGCAAGAGGCUCCAGAGUGUCCUCCUGCCAGACGGGAAGCGGAAGUGCCAUGUCCGGGAUGGGCCCUGGGUCUGGGCUCCCAGCCAGGCAGCCGUGUCCUGGGAGGCAGGAGCCGAGACUUCUUCCCUCUGCUGGAGCCGGAAGCUGGGCUCCAGGCACCUGGAGUUCUCAUCUCCUGGUCCCCAGGAUGCGGAUUCCGGCACACGACCCCCACGCCUUCCUCUUCCCCACCUACGUUUGGCAGCCACAUCCUGUAGCGGUGGGUGGGGCCCAAACAGGAGGCAGGGAUGUGGGUGGAAUCCCGGGAGACCUGAGGGGCAUCCUUUCUCAAGGGCAGUUGAAAUCUCUUCUUGGCCCCAGGGUGCCUUGGAGCACGGUUUGAAAAACACUGAUGGAGCCCUUUUGAUAGAUGGAAAAACAGAGGCCUGGAGGGGGGAAGGGGGAGAGUCAGACCCUGGGGGCCCUUGUAGUCCCCACUUCCCAAAAUCUGCUACAGGGCCUGGCAGGUGAAAUUGCACUUCACAGUGCCCCCAGCCCACCUGCCCUGGCAGCCCCCUGCUCUCAUUGUCCAGAAGGCCAGGGAGGCGUUGGGGCUCCAUGACUUCCCGUGUAGGACACCCCACAUCUGCAAGUCUCACUCGGCUGCAUCUGCCAAAUGCCCACCUCACAGGGUUGUGAGGAGCGACAGAGAUGACAAUGCGAAGAACAAGAUGGCCAGGCCUAGCAGCUCCCACUCCCUGCGCUCCGACCCGAGGCUGCACAGGCGGGCUCCGAGCGUCGCCUUGGUUAUCGAGACAGAAUUUACCUCCCAUAAAGCUCGCCCAUUUCAAGUGUGUGGUUCAAGGGUUUUCAGUGUAUUUACAGAGUUGUCCAACCAUCACCAUCUAAUUUUAGAUUGUCCCCAAAUCUAAUUUUGUCUAAUAAUGUAAAUUAGAUUGUCUAAAAAAUCUAAUUUUACAUUGUCGCAAGAAGAAAUCCAAUACUCACGAGCAGUCCCUGCCAUUCCUCUUCUCCAGGCCCCGGAAACACCAGUCUACUCUCUACGGAUUUACCGAUUUUGGACAUUUCAUACAAUGAAAUCAUAUAAUAUGCCGGCUUUUGUGACUGACUUCUUUCACCGAGCAAAGUGUCGUAGCGUGUAUCAGUACUUGAUUCUUUUUUACGGCUGGAUAAUAUUCCACCAUAUAGAUACACCAUUUUGUUUAUCCAUUCGUCCACUGAUGGACAUGUGGGUUGUUCCACUCUUUGACUGUUACGAAGAAUGCUGCCAGGAACAUCCCCGCCCAGGUCUUUGCGAG